UACAGAGGGUGCGAGCGUUAAUCGGAAUUACUGGGCGUAAAGCGCACGUAGGUGGCGACGUAAGUCGGGUGUGAAAGCCCCGGGCUCAACCUGGGAAUUGCAUUCGAGACUGCAUUGCUGGAGUACGGAAGAGGAAGGCGGAAUUCCCGGUGUAGCGGUGAAAUGCGUAGAUAUCGGGAGGAACAUCAGUGGCGAAGGCGGGUCUCUGGGCCGAAACUGACGCUGAGGAGCGAAAGCGUGGGGAGCGAACAGG
RNAcentral lists this ribosomal RNA (253 nucleotides) under uncultured bacterium. RNAcentral describes it as "partial 16S ribosomal RNA". It matches the Rfam family "Bacterial small subunit ribosomal RNA", at positions 524 to 776 of the family's 1533-position model. The record is from RNAcentral.